GAUGAACGCUGGCGGCGUGCCUAAUACAUGCCAGUCGAGCGAACAGACGAGGAGCUUGCUCCUCUGACGUUAGCGGCGGACGGGUGAGUAACACGUGGAUAACCUACCUAUAAGACUGGGAUAACUUCGGGAAACCGGAGCUAAUACCGGAUAAUAUAUUGAACCGCAUGGUUCAAUAGUGAAAGACGGUUUUGCUGUAACUUUUAAUUGAUUCCGCGCCGCAUUAGCUAGUUGGUAAGGUAACGGCUUACCAAGGCAACGAUGCGUAGCCGACCUGAGAGGGUGAUCGGCCACACUGGAACUGAGACACGGUCCAGACUCCUACGGGAGGCAGCAGUAGGGAAUCUUCCGCAAUGGGCGAAAGCUUGACGGAGCAACGCCGCGUGAGUAAUGAAGGUCUUCGGAUCGUAAAACUCUGUUAUUAGGGAAGAACAAAUGUGUAAGUAACUAUGCACGUCUUGACGGUACCUAAUCAGAAAGCCACGGCUAACUACGUG
This 497-nucleotide ribosomal RNA is filed under the name uncultured bacterium. Its description in RNAcentral is "partial 16S ribosomal RNA". It matches the Rfam family "Bacterial small subunit ribosomal RNA", at positions 28 to 507 of the family's 1533-position model. The record is from RNAcentral.